Long non-coding RNA from Cololabis saira (Pacific saury), 697 nucleotides. RefSeq lists it as uncharacterized. Lineage: Eukaryota; Metazoa; Chordata; Actinopteri; Beloniformes; Belonidae. The transcript is spliced from 3 exons. The record is from RefSeq and is a predicted model, not a curated record.
UUCAUGGUUUAUUAAAUGUGUGAAAAAUGUAUGAAAAUACUUACCUUGAGAAAAAAAGAGAACUGUACAGUUAAAAAGAUAAUUCAUCUAAGCAUUACUGUGUCAUUUUUUAUGAUGUUUCUGUUUUGCAUGGGUAUUUGUAAAUAAUUACGUAUUACUAACAGUCUUUUCCUUUUUCCAUGGCAUGCACCAGGCAUCAAUGGGUUAACAUUUAAUUAUCUUUCCUUUUUGAGUCGUAUUCAAAUCUCAAUAAUCUUGCGAUUGUUUCUAAUCGUAAUAAUCUUGGGAUUGUUUCAGCGUUUCAGAAAAAAAGAUUCUCCACAAACAUCUGCACACGUCGGUAACAUCGUCAGGAUGGAGACCAUGGAGCAGUUUGACAAGGAGGAAGUGCAUCUCAUUGACAACAGUAACUUUGAACGCAUGAAGGAGGUAUGAGGUUCAACAAGGCGGCAACAGAAGACCUCAUCAAGCAAACCAGCGCUGGCCAUCUGAAGCAUGCACCACAGAGACGUCAGCAGUGAGGCGAGGCACCUGGUCGGUGAUGUGGCAGCCUUAGUUUCCUUUUUUAUCCUGUUGUUUCGUUUUGCAUCCUACAACACACAUCUACAUUCUCCACUCACACAACAUGCACCUCAUGCUUACUUUACUGACAUCCACAUCCCAUGUUUUGUAAUCUUUUGUUGGACAUAUUUAAGUU